This 837-nucleotide ribosomal RNA is filed under the name Rhytidhysteron yunnanense. Its description in RNAcentral is "SSU rRNA". It matches the Rfam family "Eukaryotic small subunit ribosomal RNA", at positions 114 to 960 of the family's 1831-position model. Lineage: Eukaryota; Fungi; Ascomycota; Dothideomycetes; Hysteriales; Hysteriaceae. The record is from RNAcentral.
CGUUUAUUUGAUAGUACCUUACUACUUGGAUAACCGUGGUAAUUCUAGAGCUAAUACAUGCUAAAAACCCCGACUUCGGGAGGGGUGUAUUUAUUAGAUAAAAAACCAAUGCCCUUCGGGGCUCCUUGGUGAAUCAUAAUAACUUAACGGAUCGCAUGGCCUUGCGCCGGCGACGGUUCAUUCAAAUUUCUGCCCUAUCAACUUUCGAUUGUAGGGUAUUGGCCUACAAUGGUAUCAACGGGUAACGGGGAAUUAGGGUUCGAUUCCGGAGAGGGAGCCUGAGAAACGGCUACCACAUCCAAGGAAGGCAGCAGGCGCGCAAAUUACCCAAUCCCGACACGGGGAGGUAGUGACAAUAAAUACUGAUACAGGGCUCUUUUGGGUCUUGUAAUUGGAAUGAGUACAAUUUAAAUCCCUUAACGAGGAACAAUUGGAGGGCAAGUCUGGUGCCAGCAGCCGCGGUAAUUCCAGCUCCAAUAGCGUAUAUUAAAGUUGUUGCAGUUAAAAAGCUCGUAGUUGAACCUUGGGUCUGGCUGGCCGGUCCGCCUCACCGCGUGCACUGGUCCGGCCGGACCUUUCCUUCUGGAGAACCGCAUGCCCUUCACUGGGUGUGUCGGGGAACCAGGACUUUUACUUUGAAAAAAUUAGAGUGUUCAAAGCAGGCCUUUGCUCGAAUACAUUAGCAUGGAAUAAUAGAAUAGGACGUGCGGUCCUAUUUUGUUGGUUUCUAGGACCGCCGUAAUGAUUAAUAGGGAUAGUCGGGGGCAUCAGUAUUCAAUUGUCAGAGGUGAAAUUCUUAGAUUUAUUGAAGACUAACUACUGCGAAAGCAUUUGCCA